GUGGACGCCAGUCUGCAUGGAGCCGGCCUUGAAAUACCACCCUUUAAUGUUUGAUGUUCUAACGUGGACCCGUGAUCCGGGUUGCGGACAGUGUCUGGUGGGUAGUUUGACUGGGGCGGUCUCCUCCUAAAGAGUAACGGAGGAGCACGAAGGUUGGCUAAUCCUGGUCGGACAUCAGGAGGUUAGUGCAAUGGCAUAAGCCAGCUUGACUGCGAGCGUGACGGCGCGAGCAGGUGCGAAAGCAGGUCAUAGUGAUCCGGUGGUUCUGAAUGGAAGGGCCAUCGCUCAACGGAUAAAAGGUACUCCGGGGAUAACAGGCUGAUACCGCCCAAGAGUUCAUAUCGACGGCGGUGUUUGGCACCUCGAUGUCGGCUCAUCACAUCCUGGGGCUGAAGUAGGUCCCAAGGGUAUGGCUGUUCGCCAUUUAAAGUGGUACGCGAGCUGGGUUUAGAACGUCGUGAGACAGUUCGGUCCCUAUCUGCCGUGGGCGCUGGAGAACUGAGGGGGGCUGCUCCUAGUACGAGAGGACCGGAGUGGACGCAUCACUGGUGUUCGGGUUGUCAUGCCAAUGGCACUGCCCGGUAGCUAAAUGCGGAAGAGAUAAGUGCUGAAAGCAUCUAAGCACGAAACUUGCCCCGA
This 639-nucleotide ribosomal RNA is filed under the name Salmonella enterica. Its description in RNAcentral is "partial 23S ribosomal RNA". It matches the Rfam family "Bacterial large subunit ribosomal RNA", at positions 2164 to 2802 of the family's 2925-position model. RNAcentral also lists the same sequence under 2 other names. Lineage: Bacteria; Pseudomonadati; Pseudomonadota; Gammaproteobacteria; Enterobacterales; Enterobacteriaceae. The record is from RNAcentral.